UACGUAGGGUGCGAGCGUUGUCCGGAAUUAUUGGGCGUAAAGGGCUCGUAGGCGGUUUGUCGCGUCGGGAGUGAAAACACCGGGCUUAACUCGGUGCUUGCUUUCGAUACGGGCAGACUAGAGGCAUGCGGGGGAGAACGGAAUUCCUGGUGUAGCGGUGAAAUGCGCAGAUAUCAGGAGGAACACCGGUGGCGAAGGCGGUUCUCUGGGCCUUACCUGACGCUGAGGAGCGAAAGCGUGGGGAGCGAACAGG
This 253-nucleotide ribosomal RNA is filed under the name uncultured bacterium. Its description in RNAcentral is "partial 16S ribosomal RNA". It matches the Rfam family "Bacterial small subunit ribosomal RNA", at positions 524 to 776 of the family's 1533-position model. The record is from RNAcentral.